RNAcentral lists this ribosomal RNA (475 nucleotides) under uncultured bacterium. RNAcentral describes it as "partial 16S ribosomal RNA". It matches the Rfam family "Bacterial small subunit ribosomal RNA", at positions 28 to 507 of the family's 1533-position model. The record is from RNAcentral.
GAUGAACGCUAGCGGCAGGCCUAACACAUGCAAGUCGAGGGAUAAGCCUUCGCGCUCGGACCGUCGCACGGGUGCGUACCGCGUAUACAAUCUUCCUUUUAUCCGGUGGAUAUCCCGAAGAAAUUUGGAUUAAUACCCUAUGGUAUAAGAGCACGGCCUCGUUCCCUUAUUAAAGCUACGGCGUUAAAAGAUGAGUAUGCGUUCUAUUAGCUUGUUGGAUAGGUAAUGGCUGCGUAAGUCGACGAUAGAUAGGGGUUUGGAGAGUGAUGUCCCCCACACGGGUACUGAGAUACUGACCACACUCCUACGGGACGCAGCAGUGAGGAAGACAGCACAAGGGUAUGAAGACUGAUCCAGCCAAGCCUCAUGCAGCAGGACCGCGUUAUGGGUGAUAAACUUCUUUUGGAAGGGAAGAAUAAGCAGUACGGAUACUUUGAUGACGGUACCUGAUGAAUAAGCACCGGCUAACUCCGUG